RNAcentral lists this ribosomal RNA (838 nucleotides) under uncultured bacterium. RNAcentral's name for it is "bacterial SSU rRNA". It matches the Rfam family "Bacterial small subunit ribosomal RNA", at positions 56 to 886 of the family's 1533-position model. The record is from RNAcentral.
UGCAAGUCGAGGGGCAGCAUGAUUGAAGCUUGCUUCAAUUGAUGGCGACCGGCGCACGGGUGAGUAACGCGUAUCCAACCUUCCGUACACUCAGGGAUAGCCUUUCGGAAGAAAGAUUAAUACCUGAUGGUAUGAUGAGAUUGCAUGAUAUCAUCAUUAAAGAUUCAUCGGUGUACGAUGGGGAUGCGUUCCAUUAGGUAGUAGGCGGGGUAACGGCCCACCUAGCCGACGAUGGAUAGGGGUUCUGAGAGGAAGGUCCCCCACAUUGGAACUGAGACACGGUCCAAACUCCUACGGGAGGCAGCAGUGAGGAAUAUUGGUCAAUGGACGAGAGUCUGAACCAGCCAAGUAGCGUGAAGGAUGAAGGUCCUACGGAUUGUAAACUUCUUUUAUAAGGGAAUAAAACCUCCCACGUGUGGGAGCUUGUAUGUACCUUAUGAAUAAGCAUCGGCUAACUCCGUGCCAGCAGCCGCGGUAAUACGGAGGAUGCGAGCGUUAUCCGGAUUUAUUGGGUUUAAAGGGAGCGCAGACGGGUCGUUAAGUCAGCUGUGAAAGUUUGGGGCUCAACCUUAAAAUUGCAGUUGAUACUGGCGUCCUUGAGUGCGGUUGAGGUGUGCGGAAUUCGUGGUGUAGCGGUGAAAUGCUUAGAUAUCACGAAGAACUCCGAUUGCGAAGGCAGCACACUAAGCCGUAACUGACGUUCAUGCUCGAAAGUGUGGGUAUCAAACAGGAUUAGAUACCCUGGUAGUCCACACGGUAAACGAUGGAUACUCGCUGUUGGCGAUAUACUGUCAGCGGCUUAGCGAAAGCGUUAAGUAUCCCACCUGGGGAGUACGCC